RNAcentral lists this long non-coding RNA (1200 nucleotides) under Notechis scutatus (mainland tiger snake). RNAcentral's name for it is "lncRNA (ENSNSUG00000020530.1)". Lineage: Eukaryota; Metazoa; Chordata; Lepidosauria; Squamata; Elapidae. The record is from RNAcentral.
AACAGCUGGUCUGGAGGUCAGAGAAAACAAGAAAGGAAUAGGCAAAGAAAUAGGACAAUCCUCCAUUGCAGCGUUAAGCUGUUCCCAUGUGUGAGAAGAACAAAAUUCUACCUGGUUUGCAGCGUUUGAGCAACACUGAUCAGACUGAUCAGGGGUUUAGUCUGCAUUGUGGACCUUUAUGAGUCCCCACUAAGACAAUGAUAUUAAUGACCUCUGUGAUCAUAUUAAGACCAACUGCGUCCUCUUCGCUGAUGAUGUAAAGCUAUUCAACACCACAGACAAUACUGCUACCCUUCAAAAAGACCUCGACUAUGUAUCAGAAUGGUCAAACAAAUGGCAACUUCAAAUCUCAACAAACAAAUGCUCUGUCUUACAUAUUGGCAAAAAAAAUCAGAAAAUAAAAUACAGGCUGAAUAGUCAAGACCUUGUUGAUGAUCCAAACUCUGUCAAGGACCUUGGAGUAUUCAUCUCUAAUGAUCUAAGUGCUAAAGCCCACUGUAACUACAUAGCCAAAAAGGCAUUAAGAGUUGUUAACCUAAUCUUACGUAGCUUUUUCUCUGGUAAUAUUACACUACUAACUAGAGCAUACAAAACAUUUGCUAGACCAAUACUCGAAUACAGCUCAUCAGUCUGGAACCCACAUUACGUAUCCGAUAUUAACACAGUUGAGAAAGUCCAGAAAUAUUUCACAAGAAGAGUUCUCCACUCCUCUACUUGUUGCAGAAUACCUUAUGCCACCAGACUUGAAAUUCUAGACCUAGAAAAGCUAGAACUACGCCGCCUUCGGUCUGAUCUAUAUCAAAUCAUACAUUGCAAUGUCCUACCUGUCAAUACUUCAGCUUCAACCAUAACAACACAAGAGCAAACAAUAGAUACAAACUCAAGGUUAAUCGCACCGAACUUGAUUGCAGGAAAUACGACUUCAGCAACACAGUGGUCAAUGUCUGGAAUACUCUACCUGACUCUGUGGUUUCUUCCCCAAACCCCAAAAACUUUAACUUUAGACUUUCUACUAUUGAUCUCACCCCUUUCCUAAGAGGUCUGUAGGGGCGUGCAUAAGCGCACCAACGUGCCUACUGUCCCUGCCUUAUUGUUUAUUUUUUCUUAUAUGUAUCCAUGUAUUCAUAACUAUGUUUUUACUUAUACCUAUUAUCUUGUAAGCAAUUGACAAACCAAAAUAAAUAAAUAAAUAAAUCCCCU